GUGCUCACUUCCACAGCACAUAUACUACAACUGAACAAUACAGGGGAGACUAGCAUGGCCUGUGUGAGGAUGACUCAAAUUUGUGAAGUACUACAUCUGCUC
Molecule: small nuclear RNA, 102 nt
Organism: Peromyscus eremicus (cactus mouse)
Lineage: Eukaryota; Metazoa; Chordata; Mammalia; Rodentia; Cricetidae
Source: RefSeq, a predicted model, not a curated record